This is a non-coding RNA of Musa acuminata subsp. malaccensis (wild Malaysian banana), 465 nucleotides long. The record is from RefSeq and is a predicted model, not a curated record. NCBI's taxonomy places the organism in Eukaryota, Viridiplantae, Streptophyta, Magnoliopsida, Zingiberales, Musaceae.
CCUAGCAAACCGUCCACGGACUCUUGGUCGGCUGUCUGCUAGAGUUUUCCUACAAGCAUACUGCAAGCAUUGUGAUCAGUUUUGGUGCGGCCUACUUUGAAGGUGGUAUCAUCCAUGACCGGGAUGUCGGAUGCUGGCAGAAGCAUCGGUUUGCCACUGCCUCCGGCCAUCAGACGUUGGCUGCCUCCUCGAAUUACCUUUAUAAGGCAAAUGAAACUGUAUACUAACUUUAUAUAAAGAAGCCAAGGUAUGUUAUCCAUAUUUACUGUCUUUAGGGGAAAAAAAUAAAAAAAAGUCAUGACUACAGCACCAGGUUCAGACCAAUUGUCAUCAGAUACUGGAUAAGCCGGAUCUAUUCUUCUGUUCUUUAGUGAUGUGGUCAGAUGAAAAAUGCGGGCCUUGAUUCCCGGUUUUAUCUGUUAUAAUUUAUGGAUUGCGUGGGAUAAUGGAUCAACAGUUCAAGCA